GUAGUCCUGGCUGUAAACGAUGUCGACUUGGAGGUUGUUCCCUUGAGGAGUGGCUUCCGGAGCUAACGCGUUAAGUCGACCGCCUGGGGAGUACGGCCGCAAGGUUAAAACUCAAAUGAAUUGACGGGGGCCCGCACAAGCGGUGGAGCAUGUGGUUUAAUUCGAUGCAACGCGAAGAACCUUACCUACUCUUGACAUCCAGAGAACUUAGCAGAGAUGCUUUGGUGCCUUCGGGAACUCUGAGACAGGUGCUGCAUGGCUGUCGUCAGCUCGUGUUGUGAAAUGUUGGGUUAGGUCCCGCAACGAGCGCAACCCUUAUCCUUUGUUGCCAGCGGUUCGGCCGGGAACUCAAAGGAGACUGCCAGUGAUAAACUGGAGGAAGGUGGGGAUGACGUCAAGUCAUCAUGGCCCUUACGAGUAGGGCUACACACGUGCUACAAUGGCAUAUACAAAGAGAAGCGACCUCGCGAGAGCAAGCGGACCUCACAAAGUAUGUCGUAGUCCGGAUCGGAGUCUGCAACUCGACUCCGUGAAGUCGGAAUCGCUAGUAAUCGUAGAUCAGAAUGCUACGGUGAAUACGUUCCCGGGCCUUGUACACACCGCCCGUCACACCAUGGGAGUGGGUUGCAAAAGAAGUAGGUAGCUUAACCUUCGGGAGGGCGCUUACCACUUUGUGAUUCAUGACUGGGGUGAAGUCGUAACAAGGUAACCGUAGGGGAACCUGCGGCUGGAUCACCUCC
This 740-nucleotide ribosomal RNA is filed under the name uncultured bacterium. RNAcentral's name for it is "bacterial SSU rRNA". It matches the Rfam family "Bacterial small subunit ribosomal RNA", at positions 790 to 1530 of the family's 1533-position model. The record is from RNAcentral.